Alligator sinensis (Chinese alligator) is the source of this 505-nucleotide long non-coding RNA. RefSeq lists it as uncharacterized. The transcript has 3 exons. The record is from RefSeq and is a predicted model, not a curated record. Lineage: Eukaryota; Metazoa; Chordata; Crocodylia; Alligatoridae.
UAAGGAAACAAACCAAAUUGUUUGACAGCAGUUUCAUUUGACAGUUCCUUCUGGAGCUUACUAGUGGAAAUGGCUUCACCUCAGAGAAUAAGGAAUUAAUUUCCUUUCAUAGUAGCUGCUAAAUCAGGGGUGUAUGGCAGGUAGCUCCAGAAACUCUAUGUUGCAGUUCUCAAGAGUUGACGUAUAAAGAGAGCUAGAGCAGCCCAGAAGAGGAGAGGAGGAGGUGUUUAGACAACCAGUGGCCAGUAAUGACUACCUUGGUACUCUGCCAUGGUUCCAGUGCACCAGGCUGGUUGGCCAUGGCCAUAGCACAGCACAAUCCAGCUGCUUCCUUUGACACAAACCCUGUGCCUGCAACAAUAUGUCUCAAUCUCAGUCUGAGAAGGUUGGACACCCCGCUGUGUAGCAGGAAGAAGGUUCUCCUUACACAGGAAGAAGUACCUGUCACUACUGGAAGGGUCCACAAAUCAGUAAGAGGUCAUAGUUACCAAGGCAUUAAUUCUUC